Molecule: microRNA precursor, 103 nt
Filed under: Marmota monax (woodchuck)
Lineage: Eukaryota; Metazoa; Chordata; Mammalia; Rodentia; Sciuridae
Source: RNAcentral
GGUGAAAUUGUUGGGUCAUAUGGUAACUCUAUAUUUAGCAUUUUGAGGAACUGCCAGACUGUUAUCUAAAGUAACUGCACCAUUUUACAAUCCCACCAGCAUU